RNAcentral lists this ribosomal RNA (511 nucleotides) under uncultured bacterium. Its description in RNAcentral is "bacterial SSU rRNA". It matches the Rfam family "Bacterial small subunit ribosomal RNA", at positions 223 to 743 of the family's 1533-position model. The record is from RNAcentral.
GGAUGAGCCCGCGGCCUAUCAGCUUGUUGGUGGGGUAAUGGCCCACCAAGGCGGCGACGGGUAGCCGGCCUGAGAGGGUGUACGGCCACAUUGGGACUGAGAUACGGCCCAGACUCCUACGGGAGGCAGCAGUGGGGAAUAUUGCACAAUGGGCGCAAGCCUGAUGCAGCGACGCCGCGUGGGGGAUGAAGGCCUUCGGGUUGUAAACUCCUUUCGCUAGGGACGAAGCUUUGUUGUGACGGUACCUAGAUAAGAAGCACCGGCUAACUACGUGCCAGCAGCCGCGGUAAUACGUAGGGUGCGAGCGUUGUCCGGAAUUACUGGGCGUAAAGGGCUCGUAGGUGGUUUGUCGCGUCGUCUGUGAAAUUCUGGGGCUUAACUCCGGGCGUGCAGGCGAUACGGGCAUAACUUGAGUGCUGUAGGGGUAACUGGAAUUCCUGGUGUAGCGGUGAAAUGCGCAGAUAUCAGGAGGAACACCGAUGGCGAAGGCAGGUUACUGGGCAGUUACUGA